RNAcentral lists this ribosomal RNA (253 nucleotides) under uncultured prokaryote. Its description in RNAcentral is "partial 16S ribosomal RNA". It matches the Rfam family "Bacterial small subunit ribosomal RNA", at positions 524 to 776 of the family's 1533-position model. The record is from RNAcentral.
UACAGAGGGUGCGAGCGUUAAUCGGAAUUACUGGGCGUAAAGCGCGCGUAGGCGGCUUUGCAAGUCGGGUGUGAAAUCCCCAGGCUUAACCUGGGAACUGCAUUCGAGACUGCAUUGCUAGAGUAUGGGAGAGGGAAGUGGAAUUUCCGGUGUAGCGGUGAAAUGCGUAGAUAUAUGGAGGAACACCAGUGGCGAAGGCGACUCUCCGGUCUGCAACUGACGCUGAGGCGCGAAAGCGUGGGUAGCGAACAGG